Molecule: long non-coding RNA, 590 nt
Filed under: Rhinopithecus bieti (black snub-nosed monkey)
Lineage: Eukaryota; Metazoa; Chordata; Mammalia; Primates; Cercopithecidae
Description: lncRNA (ENSRBIG00000045875.1)
Source: RNAcentral
UAGAAGAGAGACAAGAGAACUAGAGGUGCAUGUUGAUUUGGAAUUUCCAACUCAGAAUAUUCAGUGAAAUAUUUGUGUGACUUUUUUUCUCUAAAGACAGAAGAAAAGAAAAUGAGAAAAAAAACAGUCUUCAGGGAUAUCAACAGAUUUGCAGAGAGAGAAAAAGAGCUAACAGGUCAAGCCCAAAAUCACAAAAGAUAGCAUCUUCCCGCAUCCAGAUGGACUGCCCUAUGUGCCUGGUCCUCACCUGGAUGACAUUUUGUGACCAGAAGAAAAAGGCCCAGAGAAACAAACAUCAGUUUCUCUAACCUGUUUUUAGCCAGGAUGAUAGAAUCAGAAGGUUCUCAAGGUUUAUACGUGAUGGGAUGCUCUCAAAAGGAGUUUUGUUGUGAAAACAUCCCAAAAGAAAAUGGAUGAGUGAUUCUCCAACACAUUGCUUUUCAGUUCUAUGACAUCCUCACCUCUGUUCUAUGGGUAGAUUCUUUGAUGUCUGAAAAGUUUCUGUACAUAAAGAGGAACAUUCAUUACCAUUGUUUAAUGCCCCAUUUGUUAACUGUAUAACUUCAUUAAAACAUUAUCAUUUUUGAAGG